Molecule: ribosomal RNA, 644 nt
Filed under: uncultured Halomonas sp.
Lineage: Bacteria; Pseudomonadati; Pseudomonadota; Gammaproteobacteria; Oceanospirillales; Halomonadaceae
Description: bacterial SSU rRNA
Rfam family: Bacterial small subunit ribosomal RNA
Source: RNAcentral
CCUACGGGAGGCAGCAGUGGGGAAUAUUGGACAAUGGGGGCAACCCUGAUCCAGCCAUGCCGCGUGUGUGAAGAAGGCUUUCGGGUUGUAAAGCACUUUCAGUGGGGAAGAAGGCCUGAGGGUUAAUAACCCUGAGGGAGGACAUCACCCACAGAAGAAGCACCGGCUAACUCCGUGCCAGCAGCCGCGGUAAUACGGAGGGUGCGAGCGUUAAUCGGAAUGACUGGGCGUAAAGCGCGCGUAGGUGGCUUGAUAAGCCGGUUGUGAAAGCCCCGGGCUCAACCUGGGAACGGCAUCCGGAACUGUCAGGCUAGAGUGCAGGAGAGGAAGGUAGAAUUCCCGGUGUAGCGGUGAAAUGCGUAGAGAUCGGGAGGAAUACCAGUGGCGAAGGCGGCCUUCUGGACUGACACUGACACUGAGGUGCGAAAGCGUGGGUAGCAAACAGGAUUAGAUACCCUGGUAGUCCACGCCGUAAACGAUGUCGACUAGCCGUUGGGUUCCUUGAGAACUUAGUGGCGCAGUUAACGCGAUAAGUCGACCGCCUGGGGAGUACGGCCGCAAGGUUAAAACUCAAAUGAAUUGACGGGGGCCCGCACAAGCGGUGGAGCAUGUGGUUUAAUUCGAUGCAACGCGAAGAACCUUAC